ACUCCUACGGGAGGCAGCAGUGGGGAAUCUUGGACAAUGGGGCGAACCCUGAUCCAGCCAUGCCGCGUGAGUGAUGAAGGCCUUAGGGUCGUAAAGCUCUUUCGCCUGUGAAGAUAAUGACGGUAGCAGGUAAAGAAACCCGCGUACAUCCGUGCCAGCAGCCGCGGUAAUACGGAGGGGGUUAGCGUUGUUCGGAAUUACUGGGCGUAAAGCGCACGUAGGCGGAUCGGAAAGUUGGGGGUGAAAUCCCGGGGCUCAA
RNAcentral lists this ribosomal RNA (259 nucleotides) under uncultured bacterium. Its description in RNAcentral is "partial 16S ribosomal RNA". It matches the Rfam family "Bacterial small subunit ribosomal RNA", at positions 335 to 612 of the family's 1533-position model. The record is from RNAcentral.